RNAcentral lists this ribosomal RNA (317 nucleotides) under uncultured bacterium. Its description in RNAcentral is "bacterial SSU rRNA". It matches the Rfam family "Bacterial small subunit ribosomal RNA", at positions 28 to 346 of the family's 1533-position model. The record is from RNAcentral.
GAUGAACGCUAGCGGCAGGCCUAAUACAUGCAAGUCGAACGGUAAGGCCCUUUCGGGGGUACACGAGUGGCGGACGGGUGCGUAACGCGUAUGCAACAUGCCUUCCAGCGGGGGAUAUACCAGGGAAACUUGGCGCAAUACCCCAUAGAAUUACGGGACCGCAUGGUCUUGUGAUUAAAACUCCGGUGCUGGGAGAUUGGCAUGCGUGACAUUAGCUAGUUGGCGGGGUAACGGCCCACCAAGGCGACGAUGUCUAGCUGGUCUGAGAGGAUGAUCAGCCACACUGGGACUGAGACACGGCCCAGACUCCUACGGGA